CAGUAGCCACGGUAGUACGAAGGGGGCUAGCGUUGUUCGGAUUUACUGGGCGUAAAGCGCACGUAGGCGGAUCGAUCAGUCAGGGGUGAAAUCCCAGAGCUCAACUCUGGAACUGCCUUUGAUACUGUCGAUCUGGAGUAUGGAAGAGGUGAGUGGAAUUCCGAGUGUAGAGGUGAAAUUCGUAGAUAUUCGGAGGAACACCAGUGGCGAAGGCGGCUCACUGGUCCAUUACUGACGCUGAGGUGCGAAAGCGCGGGGAGCAAACAGGAUUAGAUACCCCUGUAGUCCCUGUCUCUUAUAC
This 301-nucleotide ribosomal RNA is filed under the name uncultured bacterium. Its description in RNAcentral is "partial 16S ribosomal RNA". It matches the Rfam family "Bacterial small subunit ribosomal RNA", at positions 509 to 807 of the family's 1533-position model. The record is from RNAcentral.